Molecule: ribosomal RNA, 433 nt
Filed under: uncultured bacterium
Lineage: Bacteria
Description: partial 16S ribosomal RNA
Rfam family: Bacterial small subunit ribosomal RNA
Source: RNAcentral
AACGAACGCUGGCGGCAUGCCUAACACAUGCGAGUCGAACGAGACCUUCGGGUCUAGUGGCGCACGGGUGCGUAACGCGUGGGAACCUGCCCUUAGGUUCGGAAUAACUCCCCGAAAGGGGUGCUAAUACCGGAUAAUGUCUUCGGACCAAAGAUUUAUCGCCUUUGGAUGGGCCCGCGUUGGAUUAGCUAGUUGGUAGGGUAAAAGCCUACCAAGGCGACGAUCCAUAGCUGGUCUGAGAGGAUGAUCAGCCACACUGGGACUGAGACACGGCCCAGACUCCUACGGGAGGCAGCAGUGGGGAAUAUUGGACAAUGGGCGAAAGCCUGAUCCAGCAAUGCCGCGUGAGUGAUGAAGGCCUUAGGGUUGUAAAGCUCUUUUACCCGGGAUGAUAAUGGCAGUACCGGGAGAAUAAGCUCCGGCUAACUCCGUG